Molecule: unclassified non-coding RNA, 336 nt
Filed under: soil metagenome
Description: partial contains 5.8S ribosomal RNA, internal transcribed spacer 2, and large subunit ribosomal RNA
Rfam family: 5.8S ribosomal RNA (bases 1-120)
Source: RNAcentral
GAUGAAGAACGUAGUGAAAUGCGAUAAGUAAUGUGAAUUGCAGAAUUCAGUGAAUCAUCGAAUCUUUGAACGCACAUUGCGCCCGCCAGUAUUCUGGCGGGCAUGCCUGUUCGAGCGUCAUUUCAACCAUCAAGCCCCCGGCUUGUGUUGGGGACCUGCAGCUGCCGCAGGCCCUGAAAAGCAGUGGCGGGCUCGCUGUCACACCGAGCGUAGUAGCAUACAUCUCGCUCUGGGCGUGCUGCGGGUUCCGGCCGUUAAACCACCUUCAUAACCCAAGGUUGACCUCGGAUCAGGUAGGAAGACCCGCUGAACUUAAGCAUAUCAAUAAGCGGAGGA